Long non-coding RNA from Neofelis nebulosa (Clouded leopard), 2203 nucleotides. RefSeq lists it as uncharacterized. The transcript has 3 exons. The record is from RefSeq and is a predicted model, not a curated record. Lineage: Eukaryota; Metazoa; Chordata; Mammalia; Carnivora; Felidae.
CCACCACCCCGGGCAGCGGGGACUUGGCUUUUCCCUAGGGGACGGGCGCCCUUGGCCUCACUGAGUGGUGAUCCUCCCGUGUGUUCCCCUUCUUGUCGGGACUGGACAGAUGGGGCCUUCUGGAAAGUAAGAGAAGUGCUUUGCACAGCUCGGGGAAGUCUGAGUCUCUUACCAGGUUUUUGGGGGGUCGGGGGGGGGGUCAAACAGAUGUACUUUCCGGCUUUCCAGGUUUUUUUUUUUUUUUGCCUGUGGGAGGACCUGCUUGCUAGGCCGCAUUGUCUCCGCAGGAGCUGACGGGCCCUGCCACCAGGUGCGGGAGGGUGACCUCGUCCCCCUCACCCGGCUCCGGUCCCCGCCCUCCCACAGAGGCAGGGCUGUUUUGUCCACCAGGACCUUCGAUGGAGUUCCAGAAGUCGUUUUUGGCUUCUGCGACUUUUAUUCCUUUUUGCUGCCCAGACUUCGCCGCAAGCAAACUAACCCCAGGCCCAGAACAUUCCCAGACACCGGACCCCGGGCCCGAGGGGCCGCCCUACGGGAAGCACAGAGGCCCUUUCGCUGCCGUCCAGACGGGAAGGCGGCUUAGGUUCCUCAGCCAGGGCCCAGCCAGCGGCGCUCUCUGGUUACACAGCCCUGAGGAGGCAUCCUGAGCCCGGAGCACAUUGGUCAAGGGCUGGCUGAGCUGGGGGGCCAGGGCGGCAGAGUGAGGUCAGCGCUGGGAAGGAGAUCCGGGGUGCUCGGCCGGGCGCCACCUGGCCCGCUACCUUUAUCCUCGGGAAUCGGAGUCUUUUCUCUGCUCAGAGAUGCCAAGUGCCGAAACCCCACGGAGCACAGCGCUCUUUCCGCGAGGCGGCGAGCUGUGGUCCGCUCGGGCUCCUUCUCUUGUCACUUAAAACCGAUGGAAAACUGAGCCAGGAGACAGAACAGGGUCUCAAGUGACUCCCUGGGCGCGAGCCCCCAAGCCCCUCCUCGCAUUGUUCAGCUUCAGGCCUGCGUGGAAGGCUGCGUAGACGAGCCUGGGGAGGGCUCGACUCGGGCCGGCCGAGUCCCCCCAGAGGUGCCGGGGGCCUCUAGCCCAGCCGGGUGGCCUCCCUCCUCCCACCGAGGCCCCUGCAGCAGGUGCUGGGCGUCCCUCGCUUUCUGCCUUCCGCCACCCUGGGCUUUGGGGCUCAUGUUCCCCGGGUCCCGCCUGCUCUUUCCUCUACAGAGACCACCAAGCUUCCUGUCGUGGUCCCAGCAGCACAUGUCUUCAGGGAAGGUUCCCUCGGCCUCCGCCCCCUCUCACCCACCUGUCGCGUUCUCGGGAUUUAAGUGCAAAAGUGAAUGCCCAGGGCGCCCGGGGGGCUCAGUCGGUUGGGCGUCCGACUUCGGCUCAGGUCAUGAUCUCAUGCGUCGUGGGUUCGAGCCCCGCGUCAGGCUCCGUGCUGACAGCUGGGAGCCCGGAGCCUGCUUCGGAUGCUGUCUCUCCUUCUCCCUCUGCCUCUCCCCUGCUGGCACUCUCUCUCUCAAAACUAAAUAUUAAAAAAAAAAAAACCUUUUUUAGCGAGUGCCCGUGUGGGGGCACCACCCCUUGACCGAGGUAACUCCUUGAAUCCCCAGCUCAGCAAGGCCUGGACAAGUGGGGCCACCAGCCUGAAGUCAUGUGGCUGCCGAGUGGCAGGAGCACAAUUGGAGGCCAGAGGAGCAAUUGGAGAGUCGGGUUGGGGGGCGAGGGGUCUGCCGGAGCGUCCCCUCCAAGGCAGCUGUAUGUCCCUUCACUGAGGCCCAGAGCAGGGCCCCCCCCACCAGGAAGCCUGCACCACCCCCACCCCACCCCCACCCUGUUUUUACUUCUCUAUUAUUCUGCUUUGUGGUUGCCUGCAAACUGCAUUUUCCCUUCCCUAGGGGCUUGGCUCUGGGCUGUUCUUUCUCCCAGGGCUUGGCUCCCGGCCUGGAGGAGGUAAACAAGGCCCUUGUCGUGGGCAGGGGUGCAGGGCCCAUCCCGCCUCACCCAUCUUGAGUCCCCGUCCUCGUCUGGCCACUGGGGUUCCAGGGAAAAGGCUGUGGGGGCAGAGGGGGCGCGGUCCGGACGUCCUCUCCCCCUCCUCUCUCCCCUCUUCCCCCCAUCCCUCCCCCUCCCCCCCUCCCCAGGCUUUCCCGCUCUGUCUGGGCCAGCUGCCACCAGACCCAACAGCGAGCAGGGAUGGCGUCGGGGAGCCCCUGGGAG